This 389-nucleotide ribosomal RNA is filed under the name uncultured bacterium. RNAcentral's name for it is "bacterial SSU rRNA". It matches the Rfam family "Bacterial small subunit ribosomal RNA", at positions 1 to 398 of the family's 1533-position model. The record is from RNAcentral.
AAGGGUUUGAUCCUGGCUCAGAUUGAACGCUGGCGGCAGGCCUAACACAUGCAAGUCGAGCGGAUGACGGGAGCUUGCUCCUUGAUUCAGCGGCGGACGGGUGAGUAAUGCCUAGGAAUCUGCCUGGUAGUGGGGGACAACGUUUCGAAAGGAACGCUAAUACCGCAUACGUCCUACGGGAGAAAGCAGGGGACCUUCGGGCCUUGCGCUAUCAGAUGAGCCUAGGUCGGAUUAGCUAGUUGGUGGGGUAAUGGCUCACCAAGGCGACGAUCCGUAACUGGUCUGAGAGGAUGAUCAGUCACACUGGAACUGAGACACGGUCCAGACUCCUACGGGAGGCAGCAGUGGGGAAUAUUGGACAAUGGGCGAAAGCCUGAUCCAGCCAUGCC